CCUGGGUUUAACAAAAGCUAAAAUAAAUAUAUACUAAAGAAAUUAGCCAAAAGAUUAAUUAUAUUACCUACAAAGAACUUUACAAACUAAUUUAUGUAUCAUUGUCAUUUUUUUUAGUUGCUUUUGUUACCUAUACUGACAUCAGACUGACUUCUUAAAAACUGAGUUUUACUGUGCGUAUUGUUGUGUGUUUGUUUUUUCUACAGUGGCUAGAGGUAUAGGAAUAGGGUUGAGAUCUUAAAAAAAAAACAUGUUCAACUCCGCCGCAUUUUUGCACCUGUCCCAAGUCAGGAGCCUGGUCUUUGUUAUCCUUGUAUGGUUUUUUAAUUUAAGUUUCUUUUAUAUACUUUGGCGUUUAGUAAGAUGUCCAUUAUCACUGAACUAGUAUACAUUUUUGUUUAGGGGCCAGCUGAAGGAUGCCUCCAUGUUCAGGAUUUUUCUUGCUACAUUGAAAUUGUUUGCCUUCGGCUGUUAUUUGAUCUUUGGUCAGGUUGUUGUCUCUUUGACACAUUCACUGUUUCCAUUCUCAAUUUUAAACUUAUUUUGAUCAUAUUAAUACAUCACAGUUCAGUCCUUCAAUCAUUUAAUAUUUUUUAAUUAAUUCGUCUUCAUGACUUUCUACUAGAUUGAAGGAAUGUACCCUGGUAUUUAUUGCAUUCACAAAUGAUGACAAUAACAGUGUUUUAAUCUCUUUGCAAUUGACUCAUUAAUUAGUUAUGAACAUAAAUACUUUCUACAUAGCACCAGUAUCCUUAAGGAAGCUUACAAGAAACCUAAAGAUUUUCACUUGACAUUUCACAACAACCACCAGAGCGAUGAUGAUGACCUUUAAAUGUCCAGUGGCAAGUUAAAUCCUUAUUCACAACUUUUGGCUAUUUCAUGAAGGUCAGUUUUUAUUUGAGAAAGAAGCCUUUGGCUCAAGAGAACACAAUAUUUUGCAGGAAAACUGAUAACCUUUGUCAAUUAAGAUUAAGGUCAAGUGCACCUGCCAUAUGCGGGGUUCAAACUCAAAAACUGUCAAUAUUGACAGGCUAGUGAUAGAGUAGUUGAGCUACUUAGACCACUCAAUGCCCCUAAUGGUAUUUAUAAAUGUUUAAUAUAAAGUUAAAGUGUAAAUUUCAUUUUCCCUGUAACUGCUCAUUCAUUGCUUAAGAUUAAAAGAUAUACAAGACAUACAAAUGAAUUGUCUGUUGGAAUGGGUGUAAAUUCACUUUCAACCUAAAUACAGUAUCAAUAUGACACUUAUCUCGGGGCACAAUUGUGACUGGAAUAGUUACAUGUAUGUUUCAAUAUGAUACAGUAUUUUGAUUGGCUAACAGCAAUCUUGCAUCAUUCAGAAAUUAAUAUUUAUUUAAAAAUGAAAUGAUGAUACGAGCUUCCACAACAACAGGCAAACAAAAGAAAACUAGAGAAUAAUCAUGUUUUCAU
This 1428-nucleotide long non-coding RNA is filed under the name Mytilus galloprovincialis (Mediterranean mussel). Lineage: Eukaryota; Metazoa; Mollusca; Bivalvia; Mytilida; Mytilidae. The record is from RNAcentral.